UAGGGAAUCUUCCACAAUGGACGCAAGUCUGAUGGAGCAACGCCGCGUGAGUGAAGAAGGUUUUCGGACCGUAAAGCUCUGUUGUUGGUGAAGAAGGAUAGAGGUAGUAACUGGCCUUUAUUUGACGGUAAUCAACCAGAAAGUCACGGCUAACUACGUGCCAGCAGCCGCGGUAAUACGUAGGUGGCAAGCGUUGUCCGGAUUUAUUGGGCGUAAAGCGAGCGCAGGCGGAAGAAUAAGUCUGAUGUGAAAGCCCUCGGCUUAACCGAGGAAUUGCAUCGGAAACUGUUUUUCUUGAGUGCAGAAGAGGAGAGUAGAACUCCAUGUGUAGCGGUGGAAUGCGUAGAUAUAUGGAAGAAUACCAGUGGCGAAGGCGGCUCUCUGGUCUGCAACUGACGCUGAGGCUCGAAAGCAUGGGUAGCGAACAGGAUUAGAUACCCUGGUAGUCCAUGCCGUAAACGAUGAGUGCUAAGUGUUGGGAGGCUUCCGCCUCUCAGUGCUGCAGCUAACGCAUUAAGCACUCCGCCUGGGGAGUACGACCGCAAGGUUGAAAC
This 554-nucleotide ribosomal RNA is filed under the name uncultured bacterium. Its description in RNAcentral is "partial 16S ribosomal RNA". It matches the Rfam family "Bacterial small subunit ribosomal RNA", at positions 355 to 900 of the family's 1533-position model. The record is from RNAcentral.